RNAcentral lists this ribosomal RNA (377 nucleotides) under uncultured eukaryote. Its description in RNAcentral is "partial 18S ribosomal RNA". It matches the Rfam family "Eukaryotic small subunit ribosomal RNA", at positions 592 to 976 of the family's 1831-position model. The record is from RNAcentral.
CGAUAGCGUAUAUUUAAGUUGCUGCAGUUAAAAAGCUCGUAGUUGGAUUUCGGGUGGGAAUGGCCGGUCCGCCGUUUCGGUGUGCACUUGCUACGCCCACCUUGCUGCCGGGGACGUGCUCUUGAGUUCACGCUCGGGACACGGAGUCGGCGAGGUUACUUUGAGUAAAUUAGAGUGUUCAAAGCAGGCCUACGCUCUGAAUACAUUAGCAUGGAAUAACACGAUAGGACUCUGGCCUAUCUUGUUGGUCUGUAGGACCGGAGUAAUGAUUAAGAGGGACAGUCGGGGGCAUUCGUAUUUCAUUGUCAGAGGUGAAAUUCUUGGAUUUAUGAAAGACGAACUACUGCGAAAGCAUUUGCCAAGGAUGUUUUCAUUGA